CCCUUAGAUGUUCUGGGCCGCACGCGCGCUACAAUGAUGAAUUCAACGAGUUUAUAACCUUGGUUGAAAAGCCUGGGUAAUCUUUUGAACUUUCGUCGUGAUGGGGCUAGACCCUUGCAAUUAUUGGUCUCCAACGAGGAAUUCCUAGUAAACGCAAGUCAUCAGCUUGCAUUGAUUACGUCCCUGCCCUUUGUACACACCGCCCGUCGCUCCUACCGAUUGAAUGUUCCGGUGAGCUCUUCGGACUGCGCGGUCUGCAGUUUCUGCGUUCCGUGCGGAAAGUUGCGCAAACCUUAACAUUUAGAGGAAGGAGAAGUCGUAACA
This 324-nucleotide ribosomal RNA is filed under the name uncultured eukaryote. Its description in RNAcentral is "partial 18S ribosomal RNA". It matches the Rfam family "Eukaryotic small subunit ribosomal RNA", at positions 1470 to 1796 of the family's 1831-position model. The record is from RNAcentral.